CAACUACUUUAUUUUCCAGAUAUUGCAUCAAAUGACUUUUUCUUUUUUUAAAUUAAAAUUCUCUCUCAAAAAAAAGAAAUUUAACACUGUAAAAAAUCAUAUGAAGGAAAUUAUAAAAGUUUUUAGAUCUCUGAAAGAAAACAAUUUUAAAACAUGUUUUGAAAAUUGGAAAAAACAGAUGGAUAAGAUCAGGGCCAUAUUUAUAUUUUUGGAGACCCUAGAUGCAACAUUGUUAUGAGGCUUCAGAAUAACAAGUCUAUUUCAAUUAUGAAUUUAAUAUUUAAAAAUAAGUAGUUUAUUUUGCACUAUAACUGGGCUG
RNAcentral lists this long non-coding RNA (319 nucleotides) under Androctonus crassicauda. The record is from RNAcentral. Lineage: Eukaryota; Metazoa; Arthropoda; Arachnida; Scorpiones; Buthidae.